This 203-nucleotide long non-coding RNA is filed under the name Brassica napus (rape). RNAcentral's name for it is "long non-coding RNA (BNAP_LNC015313)". Lineage: Eukaryota; Viridiplantae; Streptophyta; Magnoliopsida; Brassicales; Brassicaceae. The record is from RNAcentral.
AACGUUCCCGGAAGAUCGUAAAUAAUUUUUACGAAAACUCACGUCUCGAACAAACUAACAGAUUGAACGCCUCAACGAAGAUAUAUAUGAGACGACAACUCAUGUUCACUUCAAACCCACUCUAAACAAAGUAACCCAAACAGACAUCCAGUAUAUAAACCGCAUAGCGGUAGGGGUUUAAGGCCACACUUGGCCAGACAUAU